Molecule: long non-coding RNA, 278 nt
Filed under: Lathyrus oleraceus (garden pea)
Lineage: Eukaryota; Viridiplantae; Streptophyta; Magnoliopsida; Fabales; Fabaceae
Description: Pisum sativum (pea) long non-coding RNA (PSAT_LNC022178)
Source: RNAcentral
UAUAAUUAUUUAAUAUUAUGAGAAUUAUCUAUCACUAAUGUACAUUACCUUAGUGAUAAAGACAUAUGAUCUGGCUUAAGUAUUUUGAGUUCCCUCUUUAUAUAAAAUAUGACAAUAGCUUGUCGGUGGUUUUAUCCAUAAAUGUUGUUUAAGAAUAACAUUUUUUUCUAAAAUAGAACUUUUUUUUAGGGGACUAAUCUAGGUUCUACAAUUUUUUUUGCGAGAGAUCAAAGUAGGUCUUCACUUUUUUUCUAAAAUAUGACAAUAGCGUGUUUUUA